UCGAGCGAAUGGAUUGAGAGCUYGCUCUCAAGAAGUUAGCGGCGGACGGGUGAGUAACACGUGGGUAACCUGCCCAUAAGACUGGGAUAACUCCGGGAAACCGGGGCUAAUACCGGAUAAUAUUKUGAACUGCAUGGUUCGAAAUUGAAAGGCGGCUUCGGCUGUCACUUAUGGAUGGACCCGCGUCGCAUUAGCUAGUUGGUGAGGUAACGGCUCACCAAGGCAACGAUGCGUAGCCRACCUGAGAGGGUGAUCGGCCACACYGGGACUKAGACACGGCCCAGACUYCUACGGGAGGCAGCAKUAGGGAAUCUUYCGCAAUGGACGAAAGUCYGACGRAGCAACGCCGCGUGAGUGAUGAAGGCUUUCGGGUCGUAAAACUCUGUUGUUAGGGAAGAACAARUGCUAGUUGAAUAAGCUGGCACCUUGACGGUACCUAACCAGAAAGCCACGGCUAACUACGUGCCAGCAGCCGCGGUAAUACGUAGGUGGCAAGCGUUAUCYGGAAUUAUUGGGCGUAAAGCGCGCGCAGGUGGUUUCUUAAGUCUGAUGUGAAAGCCCACGGCUCACCCGUGGAGGGUCAUUGGAAACUGGGAGACUUGAGUGCAGAAGAGGAAAGUGGAAUUCCAUGUGUAGCGGUGAAAUGCGUAGAGAUAUGGAGGAACACCAGUGGCGAAGGCGACUUUCUGGUCUGUAACUGACACUGAGGCGSSRAARMGUGGGGGAGCAAACAGGAUUAGAUACVCUGGUAGUCCACGCCGUAAACGAUGAGUGCUAMGUGUKAGAGGGGUUUCCGCCCUUUAKUGCUGAAGUUAACGCAUUAAGCACUCCGCCUGGGGAGUACGGCCGCAAGGYUGAAACUCAAAGGAAUUGACGGGGGCCCGCACAAGCGGUGGAGCAUGUGGUUUAAUUCGAAGCAACGCGAAGAACCUUACCAGGUCUUGACAUCCUCUGAAAACCCUAGAGAUAGGBCUUCUCCUUCGGGAGCAGARUGACAGGUGGUGCAUGGUUGUCGUCAGCUCGYGUCGUGAGAUGUUGGGUUAAGUCCCGCAACGAGCGCAACCCUUGAUCUUAGUUGCCAUCAUUAAGUUGGGCACUCUAAGGUGACUGCCGGUGACAAACCGGAGGAAGGUGGGGNAUGACGUCAAAUCAUCAUGCCCCUUAUGACCUGGGCUACACACGUGCUACAAUGGACGGUACAAAGAGCUGC
Molecule: ribosomal RNA, 1210 nt
Filed under: Bacillus sp. (in: firmicutes)
Lineage: Bacteria; Bacillati; Bacillota; Bacilli; Caryophanales; Bacillaceae
Description: Bacillus sp. (in: Bacteria) partial 16S ribosomal RNA
Rfam family: Bacterial small subunit ribosomal RNA
Source: RNAcentral